GCCCGAAUGGUGUAAUGGUAGACACAAAGGACUUAAAAUCCUUCGGCUUUGGCCGUACCGGUUCGAGUCCGGUUUCGGGCA
RNAcentral lists this transfer RNA (81 nucleotides) under Clostridiales bacterium. RNAcentral describes it as "tRNA-Leu". It matches the Rfam family "tRNA". Rfam says of the family: Transfer RNA (tRNA) molecules are approximately 80 nucleotides in length. Their secondary structure includes four short double-helical elements and three loops (D, anti-codon, and T loops). Lineage: Bacteria; Bacillati; Bacillota; Clostridia; Eubacteriales. The record is from RNAcentral.